This 305-nucleotide ribosomal RNA is filed under the name uncultured bacterium. RNAcentral's name for it is "bacterial SSU rRNA". It matches the Rfam family "Bacterial small subunit ribosomal RNA", at positions 334 to 641 of the family's 1533-position model. The record is from RNAcentral.
GGCCCUACGGGAGGCAGCAGUGGGGAAUAUUGCACAAUGGGGGAAACCCUGAUGCAGCAACGCCGCGUGAGUGAAGAAGUAUUUCGAUAUGUAAAGCCCUAUCGGCAGGGAAGAAAAGCGAACAGGUUCGCCUGGACGGUACCUGACUAAGAAGCCCCGGCUAACUACGUGCCAGCAGCCGCGGUAAUACGUAGGGGGCAAGCGUUAUCCGGAUUCACUGGGUGUAAAGGGAGCGUAGACGGCGACGCAAGUCUGGAGUGAAAGCCCGGGGCCCAACCCCGGGACUGCCCUGGAAACUGCGCCGC